This 527-nucleotide long non-coding RNA is filed under the name Pan troglodytes (chimpanzee). RNAcentral's name for it is "long non-coding RNA NONPTRT007147". Lineage: Eukaryota; Metazoa; Chordata; Mammalia; Primates; Hominidae. The record is from RNAcentral.
GCGGACUACUUUGAGACCAGCAGCCAGUGCUCCAAGCCCGGUGUCAUCUUCCUAACCAAGAGAGGCCGGCAGGUCUGUGCUGACCCCAGUGAGGAGUGGGUCCAGAAAUACGUCAGUGACCUGGAGCUAAGUGCCUGAGGGGUCCAGAAGCUUCAAGGCCCAGCGACCUCGGUGGGCCCAGUGGGGAGGAGCAGGAGCCUGAGCCUUGGGAACAUCCCUGUGACCUCCACAGCUACCUCUUCUAUGGACUGGUUGUUACCAAACAGCCACACUGUGGGACUCUUCUUAACUUAAAUUUUAAUUUAUUUAUACUAUUUAGUUUUUAUAAUUUAUUUUUGAUUUCACAGUGUGUUUGUGAUUGUUUGCUCUGAGAGUUCCCCCUGUCCCCUCUGCCUUCCCUCCAGUGUGUCUGGUGACAACCGAGUGGCUGUCAUCGGCCUGUGUAGGCAGUCAUGGCACCAAAGCCACCAGACUGACAAAUGUGUAUCGGAUGCUUUUGUUCAGGGCUGUGAUCGGCCUGGGGAAAU